Molecule: long non-coding RNA, 312 nt
Filed under: Coffea arabica (coffee)
Lineage: Eukaryota; Viridiplantae; Streptophyta; Magnoliopsida; Gentianales; Rubiaceae
Description: long non-coding RNA (CARA_LNC006896)
Source: RNAcentral
UACAAUCAGGACCUCCUUGUCGCCGAAUUACUUGUAAAAAGCGAAAACCAAUCGACCAUCUGAAUCUCUAAGAAUGCCACCCCCGGAUGCUCGCCUCUGAACCACACUCACAUCAGUAUUCAAUUUAAAGAAGUUGGGUGGGGUCGUUUCCACGAAACCGCCACACAACAUCUUCUCCAAAUGGGGCAGGAUGCUAACUCCGCUUAUGGAUCCUCAACAUUGCCCCUAAAAUAUGUGACCGAGAACACUUUUGCCUUGCCCAACUACCAUAUCAAUUGUUUAACCAUAAAGGUGACACUACCACCUCAAACC